Molecule: transfer RNA, 77 nt
Filed under: Opitutaceae bacterium
Lineage: Bacteria; Pseudomonadati; Verrucomicrobiota; Opitutia; Opitutales; Opitutaceae
Description: tRNA-Arg
Rfam family: tRNA
About the family: Transfer RNA (tRNA) molecules are approximately 80 nucleotides in length. Their secondary structure includes four short double-helical elements and three loops (D, anti-codon, and T loops).
Source: RNAcentral
GCAUCCGUAGCUCAAUUGGAUAGAGCAUCUGACUACGGAUCAGAAGGUUUAGGGUUCGACUCCCUACGGAUGCGCCA